CUGGUCGGGUUGGUUAUCACUGAGCCAGACCAGAACUCCCUGUUCUGUUUACAUUUUUAUGCUAUUUCUGCAUUUCAUUCCAGAUGCUUUCCUCACCGGCUCCUUCUGCACUUGGCGUCCUUUGCCCCAGAACCCACCAGUAUGGCCAGGAGCUCCCAGAUCUUNACAAAGCACUAAAACAAGCGAAAAUGAAAGCGAAGGAAGGCCUCUGCCCUCUCUUGUGUCACUGACACAGCACUGACCCAGGGAGGAGGCUGGGAGCCGGCGACGAGGGACAGGGCCACCGCAUGGCACGGCAGCUCCAGUAACCAUCCUGCUGCCAAGACCAAGCGGUUCUCUCCGUUAAAUGGGAGAUGGGUAGGGAAGCCCACCACAGAGGUCUCUUCAUGCUGGUCUUGGUAGCCAGCCCCUCUAACGUGGUCAUGUCCACCGCAACGCUCCCUGGCAGAACCAGCCACUACCUGCACACCGGAAGAGAAAAAAAAUUGCUGUCAGUAAAAUUGAAAUCGAAAUGAAUUUUUGAACACAGCAGAAAAAGUCUGAGGCUGCUACUUCCAUGUUUAUCUCAAAAGACUCAGGUGCAGAAGGGGAAACACACUUUUUAUUGACUCUCUAAAGUUAAACUACUUUGUAAAGUUAAACAAGCUUGUUGGGGCCACACAGAUACCCACGCAAUUUCCCAAGCUCACUAGUCAGUGUAUCAGGUAUAAAUGAGGCACCUCUCUUACAGGUACCAGUGAAAACAUGGCAUCUGGAAGCCCCAGUGCUACUGCUAAUCACUCUACUAAAACCUUAUAUGGACAGAAAGCAUAAUUCAGAGAAAGACCUUAGAGAAGGCAGCCUGAGGUCGAGAAGGCAGGGACACAGCUUCAGGCCUUCGGCAGCCCUCCUGGAUCCAGGAAGAGAAAAGCCUGUAUACUGUGGCAGAGCAGGGAGAGAGAAAAUGCCUGGGACGUGGAAGGCAUCACUGGUCCUCUGUCUUCACCUGGCUUCCCAACACUGUGACUUCUGGUAGCUGGAGGUGACUCGCCUUUGUAUUUGGUCUUUAUUAGUCAGACAUUUUGUUUCAUUUCACUUUGAUUUCAGUUUUGUUUUUGCAGAUAGACUCAUUCAUAAAUGAUACAUAUGGUUAUACUGUCAUCACAUCACUAUGCAUUAGUAGUUAAAUCACAAUUAAAUUAUGGAGGAUAGCCACGAAGAGACAGCAGUUGCUUUGAGGCUCCAGGUUAUACUGAGAUACAAUGGGAACUCCUGGAUUUAUGCUAAUAACUGAUUAGAAAAGACUUUGCAAAAGCAUCAGACGAGAGAGCUGUCCCUUUCCUCUUAUCUUGCCCAUCACAGUUAGCUCAUUAUAAUCUAUCACGUAAAGUGUCCAACAAGCCACUGAGAAUCUUUUAUAACAUGAGAACUCAGAAAAAAAAAUAUUACAAGAAAGUCACCCAUCUUCUAAUUUCUGGUUGAUAAUACUCGCUGUUCUCACCAAGUGUGUUCAUAUAGAAAUGCUCGAAUACGCACAUAUGGGCACAAAAUCUGUUGUUUAUACAUGGUUUUUAUUUACACUGUCGGCAAGAACACAAGGUAGAACAGAGGCAGUUUCAGCUGUGCUUUCAGUAGAAGGCUCCUGAAUAGUUUAUGUAUUCAUUUAUUUGUCUUUUUGUCAUUUCUUGGGCCACUUCUGCGGCACAUGGAGGUUCCCAGGCUAGGGGUCUAAUAGGAGCUGUAGCCGCUGGCCUACGCCACAGCUCACGGCAACGCCAGAUCCUUAACCCACUGAGCAAGGCCAGGGAUCGAACCCGCAAUAUCAUGGUUCCUAGUCGGAUUCGUUAACCCCUGAGCCACAACAGGAACUCCAAAGGCUCCUGAAUAGUUUAAACGGAUAUAUUUUGAAAAAAAAAUUAAGGAUGCACAUUUUGGAGCUCAUAUGCUUUAAAUCUCAAUUGUUUGCUUCUCAUACCAGUUUUCUUCAGCAUCCAUGUGUUCACAUCAGUGGAAAAUAAGUGUAUCACAGCUGGCGU
This 2015-nucleotide long non-coding RNA is filed under the name Sus scrofa (pig). RNAcentral describes it as "lncRNA (ENSSSCG00060035880.1)". Lineage: Eukaryota; Metazoa; Chordata; Mammalia; Artiodactyla; Suidae. The record is from RNAcentral.